Molecule: ribosomal RNA, 323 nt
Filed under: Betula sp. RP-2014
Lineage: Eukaryota; Viridiplantae; Streptophyta; Magnoliopsida; Fagales; Betulaceae
Description: eukaryotic LSU rRNA
Rfam family: 5.8S ribosomal RNA (bases 1-88)
Source: RNAcentral
GAAUUGCAGAAUCCCGCGAAUCAUCGAGUCUUUGAACGCAAGUUGCGCCCGAAGCCACCUGGCCGAGGGCACGUCUGCCUGGGUGUCACGCAUCGUUGCCCCCAACCCCAUCUCCUUGCAAAGGGACGAGGGGGCCUGUGGGGCAGAAAUUGGCCUCCCGUGAGCUCAUGCAUGCGGUUGGCCUAAAAGCGAGUCCUCGGCGACGCGCGCCACGACAAUCGGUGGUUGUCAAACCCUCGUGUCCCGUCGUGCGUGCCGCGUCGCUCAUCGUGUGCUCCUUGACCCUGCUGUGUCGCGCUAGCGACGCUUCCAACGCGACCCCA